Molecule: ribosomal RNA, 479 nt
Filed under: Clonostachys rosea
Lineage: Eukaryota; Fungi; Ascomycota; Sordariomycetes; Hypocreales; Bionectriaceae
Description: eukaryotic LSU rRNA
Rfam family: Eukaryotic large subunit ribosomal RNA
Source: RNAcentral
UGAAAUCUGGCGCAAGCCCGAGUUGUAAUUUGUAGAGGAUGUUUCUGGCGACGCGCCUUCCGAGUUCCCUGGAACGGGACGCCAUAGAGGGUGAGAGCCCCGUACGGUUGGAUGCCUAGCCUCUGUGAAACUCCUUCGACGAGUCGAGUAGUUUGGGAAUGCUGCUCUAAAUGGGAGGUAUACGUCUUCUAAAGCUAAAUAUUGGCCAGAGACCGAUAGCGCACAAGUAGAGUGAUCGAAAGAUGAAAAGCACUUUGAAAAGAGGGUUAAAAAGUACGUGAAAUUGUUGAAAGGGAAGCGUUCAUGACCAGACUUGGGCAGGUUGAUCAUCCGUGGUUCUCCGCGGUGCACUCUGCCUGCCCAGGCCAGCAUCAGUUCGCUCCGGGGGAUAAAGGCUCCGGGAAUGUGGCUCCUCCGGGAGUGUUAUAGCCCGCUGCGUAAUACCCUGGGGUGGACUGAGGUUCGCGCACUGCAAGGAU